RNAcentral lists this ribosomal RNA (253 nucleotides) under uncultured bacterium. RNAcentral's name for it is "partial 16S ribosomal RNA". It matches the Rfam family "Bacterial small subunit ribosomal RNA", at positions 524 to 776 of the family's 1533-position model. The record is from RNAcentral.
UACGUAGGGUGCGAGCGUUGUCCGGAAUUAUUGGGCGUAAAGGGCUCGUAGGCGGUUUGUCGCGUCUGCCGUGAAAGUCCGGGGCUCAACUCCGGAUCUGCGGUGGGUACGGGCAGACUAGAGUGAUGUAGGGGAGACUGGAAUUCCUGGUGUAGCGGUGAAAUGCGCAGAUAUCAGGAGGAACACCGAUGGCGAAGGCAGGUCUCUGGGCAUUAACUGACGCUGAGGAGCGAAAGCAUGGGGAGCGAACAGG